Molecule: long non-coding RNA, 303 nt
Filed under: Erythranthe guttata (spotted monkey flower)
Lineage: Eukaryota; Viridiplantae; Streptophyta; Magnoliopsida; Lamiales; Phrymaceae
Description: long non-coding RNA (EGUT_LNC002293)
Source: RNAcentral
AGAUAAUACAUAGUUGAGGGAGGUGGCUGUAAUUACCCAAACAUAAAGGGGGUUUUCGUAAUUUACCCAUAAUUAUAUAUACAUAUAUAUGUCUAAAAUGUUAUAUCUACGAUGUGGCGAGAAAAGAAACGAAGAAUGUGGGGUUGGGUGAUCGAGGGUGAUAGUAUAGGAAUCUGAUGUCGAUAAAGGAUGAUCGGGUAAGUAUUGGUUGUUCUUAUUAUCCUUAAAUCGGACAAAAUUAUAUAAAGCUAUACUUAAUACUGACGGAAGAGUGCGCUUCCUUUUUGUUUGUUUGUUUCUUGU